AGCGGCGUGCUUCUGUCUCGGCGUUCACAUUUUGGUAAGCUUUUGGGAUUUGGCUUAAUCCUUAUGCUUAGUGUUCUAGUAGCCUCUAAUGUGUUGUUAACAUGUUUCCUCCAUGAAUGUUUGGGUUAUUUGGAGCAUGUGUAGAGGCUAGGGUUAGAAUGAGGAUUUUGAAAAUUAGAGGGUUUUGAUCUAUAAUAACUCUAUUAUUCUCUAAUUGAAUGUUAGAGAUGAACCCUUGAUGGCUCCAAGUUGAGAAUCGAUGUGUGUUCGGCGAUCAAUUGCGAGUUGGAGCCGAACCGGAUCACGUGUGUCGCGGGAGCCCGAUUGCAAGUGUUGACAAGCAAUCGGUUAUUAGGUGGGUUGUGCUCACCGAAGCGAUUGGGUCGCUUCCAUGCCAAAGUGUAGUGUGUGUCAUCGUUGAUGCAUGUAACGCUAGUUAAUUGCAAGGUUAACGAAUGCAUAUUUAUGCUAAUAAUAAAUGCAUGAGGCAUGAGAUUAAUGUAUGCUAAUUGGGUAUGCAUGAUGUAUGCUAAGUUUGCAUGAGCUAAAUGCUAAAUGAGAGUAUAACAUAUGUGCUAAUAAGGAAUGCAUAUAAUGGUAGUCCAAUUAGUAAAUGAUGCAUGAAAUAUAUGCUAAUUAUGAAUGCAUGAGGCAUGAGAUAAAUGUAUGCUAAUUGGGUAUGCAUGAUGUAUGCUAAAUGAAUGCAUAGAGUAUAUGCUAAGUGAAUAUAAAAGCUAGAUGCUAAAGAAUGCAUGUGAUAGGUGCAAAUGAAUGCGUAAGACAUGUUAAAAAAAUGCAUGAACUAGAUGUUAAAUAACAUGAAUGACAUAUAUGUUAUAUAAAUGCAUGAUUAAGAUGCUAUUAAUGAAUGCAUGCGAAAAAUAUAAAUGAAUGCAUAGAGUAUAUGCUAAGUUAGUGCAUGAACUAAAUGCUAUAUGAAUGCAAAUAUUGUUGUGUAUGGACUAUCCUUGGAGAAUAAGAACUUAGAUUGAUGAACUCUAAGUAGAGUAAAGAACUCGACAAGUGUAGCUUGUAAACUGAGAAUCCUAAAUAUGAACAAUAAGGAUAAGAGUGGCAAUGAAACCUAGCGCCAUUGAACAUUGGUGAUUCAUGAGUGGCAUGUCAUGUAUGAUUCCUAGGUGUGGACAACUAGGAAAACAAGAGCACGAGUGGCAUUAAACCUAAUGUAUUAAACAUAGGUUGAGAAUUGAACCUAGAGUUAAGUAAACUAGGCUAUGAAUAUAGUGACAUUGAACCUAGAGUCAAAUGAACCUUAGGUUGAGUAAAGGCUUGGAUCUAGAUAGGUCGAUAAUAUAGGGUGAGACCAACCCUAGAGUUAUGAAAGUGGAUUCCGGAAUCCCGGCUGCGAGUGUAGCGACUGCUAGUGCAGCAUAUGAGCUCGAUAGUUCUUGGCCGCGGGUGCAUGUGGCAUGUUCCUCUCCCAUCGGAAGAACUUCGAGGAUUGUGAUUGAGCAAGAUUCUNGCAUGCCUCUAAGCACUCCUUAGGCGCUGGAUGAUGCAAUGCACAAUACGACAAACAUCCUAUUUAAAAGUGCUCCCCACACGGAAGCUUUUGUUUUUAAACUUUAAUUCAAUGAUUUACAAAACCAUUCAAAAACCUUUUUAAAACUGUUUCCCACACGGAAACUCCAUUUUGAAAACCGACUACCUCGAGGGGUAGAAAACCACGAUGUGUAAAUACAAGAAUCAAGAAUCCAAAAAAACCAAAACUACAGAUCCACAAACCUCUGAUCACAUGCAUGAAUAACGAAAACAUCCAUUGAUCCACCGAAACCAAUUCACGAACAUUCAAACAAUCAUAGAGAUCAUCUAACUGAACCAUUUAUUAUUAAAACUACUAAGUGCAGAAAUGAAAGUAACCAGGGUGACGGUCGCUAUACCAGACUAGCUAGAUCGUCCUCUUACCGCGCCCAACACCAACUCCAAGCCCGAAUCACUUGGGAAAAUGGGGGGUGAGAAACCUCAACCAUGGUUUUCCAGUGGGUAUGACAGAGCCGCGCUGUAAUAUACCGAAAAUUCGGAAAAUAAAUAUCGAACUUUAGUCAAAUUGACCAAAGUGCGAGGAUGGUACACUUCGGAAAGUCCGAUGGUGUUAAAAGGAUCAAAAGUGUGUUAUGGGAGAUUUUCGAGAGCUAAGGAAUCAAAAAUCUGCAAACUGCAGUUUUUGAGCUCUCGGGGACCGGUCCCUGGUGGGAGAGACCGGUCCCCGUACAUGCGAAAAUUAAGGAAAGCUGAAAAUCGGCUAAGUCCUGAGAAGGUAGGCUUCGGGAACCGGUCCCUGCCUGAGAGACCGGUCCCCCGGAGACUGGUCCCCCAAAGAGAUCGCGCGGGAGCCUCGGCUGCCGCCGGGACGAGCUUCGGGAACUGGUCCCUGGUCGGGAGGACCGGUCCCCGCACACGAAAAUGCCCAGUCUGGGCUGGUUGAAUAGAGUAAAAGUGGAGGGGUUUAAUUGCAUUUUUGCAACCCAUUGAGCUAAGUAUGAGGACAAAUGAGAUAUUUCUCUCAUUUCCCACUUCUCAUUCCCUCUCAUCUCUCUUUCUCUCUCUAGAAGACAAGAAGGAGAAGAAAAAGAGAAAGAAAGGAAAUGAGAAGAAGAAGAAGAAAGUGGAGAAGAAGUAGAAGGGGUGAAGAAACUCCCUCUCCCUCAUCUCUAGCUUCGAAAAGAAAGGCUUACAAGGUAAGCUUUGAACCCUAAAUGUGGUAGAAUCCAAAUUAGGGUUUGGAUUGAGUUAAUAAUGAUUUUUAUAGGAUCUCUAGAGUCUUUGAAGCUUUCUUUUGCUUCCUUUUGAGAUCAAAACCAUGGUUUGGUAUAGAGGUGAAGCUUGAAGGUGAGCUUCAACACCUCUCAUGGUGAAACCCAAACUAGGGUUUUGAUUGAGCUAGAAAUGGUUUAAAUGGACUUUUUAGAGUGCCAUGAAGUUUCUUUUGCUUCCCAAUGAGAUCAAACCCUAGGUUUUCUUAUGCUAUGGAGCUAGGGCACCCAAAUUGGGGCUUUAGCUUAUGGGGAUUUCUAAGUGAAAUUGACCCUCUAGAAAUCUAAUUGGGGACCAAAUGAACACGUUGGUGCGCUCGGUUUGAGUAUACGAAAAGCCAAUGUAAAGAUAUGAGCAAAAUGGCCUAAUAGGGCUUCGUUUUGCAGCAGGUAAAGAACGAAGGGUCUAAAAAUCCCAAGAAAAUCAUCGGAGCACCUUUGAAAACCUACGAGGUGGGUGGUGCUUUUCAAACUCAUUGAACUUCUCUCUAUGCCUAAUGUGUCAUUCAAUUGAGCAUAUGUAUAUACAUUGUUGCAUGCAUUUUAGGGUAAAGCAAUGAUAAAAGUGUGAUGUUGCAUGAUUGUGAGUACAACUUGCGUAAUGUGAUGAUUAAGAACCUUAUGAAUAUCAAAAACCCUAUAUAUGUAUGCAUGAGAGAAAAUAUGAGUACCAAAGUGAGGCGAAAGAACAGAGUGACACAAUGAGACAUAGAUCGAGUGGCAUUUGGUAAUGUAAAGUAAAGUGACACUAGAGGUAGUGUGAGGCAAAGAAUCAAUGUGAUGUAAAGAAUAAUGAUAAUGACUAAAGUGAAAACAAAGUGGGGCGUAAAGAACAUGAUUGCUAGAGUUAGCAAAAGUAAAGAAAGGUAAAGAACAAUGAUUGCUAGAGUAGCAACAUAAAGUGAUGUAAGGAACACUAGAGUUAGUGUAAAGUCAAGAUUGAACAUACAAUAGUUUUGAGUUAAGGAUUCGAUCAUAUUUGCUAUGAGUUCCGUGGUCGAGGGUGGUCGCUCCCCCUCGGGCGAUGCGCUCCGGAGUUUUUGCAUCACGGGUUGGAAUAAACCCGAAGAACGGUCUUAGCGGGAGGAAGCUGAGGGCCCGCGAUGAUGGACUUAAUGUGAAGCAAGUUAAUGUGGCGAAACUCCCGGGUUAGCCUUGAGAUUAAAGAACAAAGAACAAAGAACAAAGAACAAAGAACAAAGAACAAAGAACAAAGAACAAAGAACAAAGACAAAGUGUAAGGUGUAAAGAACAAAAGAACUUGCAUAAUCUGCAUGUGUUAAUGUUGAGCAUAUUUUCUGCUUAUUGUUCAGGCAUAUUAGCAUCAUAUUAUAGAUUGGUUACUAUAUGCAGCUUUUCCCUUUUAUUAUGCCUGAGUUAGUCCUAGUGGGAAAGUCGGUGAGAUUGAGGCCGAACCCACUGAAAACUUUGUUGUAGUUCUCACCCCACUAUUUCCACAUAGCCGGGACCGAGCGGGCUGGCGAGCGACUGCGGUAUAGGUAUCGCACCAUAGCAAGAGGCUACCAGUGCUGAGUUUACAUUUUGUAGUUGUAGCACACUGGACCUUUGCAAAUUGCGAGGUUCGAGUGUUUGGAUGUAUUUCGAGCUUUUCCACACUUGGUGGAGGGUUGUAUAAUAUUUUCCGACCUAAAAAGUUCGAAAACUGGAAUUCUGGACAAGUCCUGAGAGUUUUUACUCUCGGGGACCGGUCCCUGGAAGGAGAGACCGGUCCCCCAGUGAGCAGUGUUGCGGCAGCCCUGAGGUAACCGGUCCCUGGCGGGCGAGACCUGUAAGGUACCGAACUUCUUAAAUUAUGAAGUUGCGGCGGGGUGUAAUAUGCUGAAAUUUUAAUAUAAAAAUAAAUAUAAAUGAAAAUAGUGUGAAAUACUAUUUUAUUGGACUUAUAGACAUAAAAUAUAAGUCUGGAAUGGCCCGUGUUGAAAUCGGAGCGAAAACAGAAGAUUUAGAAUUUUCUGUGUGAAAUGGGGCAGAUAAAUUAGCAGAAAAUGCAUAGUGUCAGAAAAUUCUGAAAACUGGAGGAUAAGCCCGAAUUAUUCUUAUGAGGCUAGAUUUAAAGUUUCAUAUCAUUUUGACACCCGGAAGGUGGAAAAUAAAAUCCAAUAGUGAUCUGAUAAAGAUUACAGUUCGGUACAGCUUUCGGUGACCAAACGGGGUCGAAACUGAAAUAUUAAAAUUUCUUUGGACUCUUUAAGUAAAACCGAACAUGACUGUCAGAUUUGAGCUCAAACGGAUAUUCAGGGAGCUCCGGCGAAAGAUAUCAGAUUUUGAGCUGCCUGAUGUGAAUAGUGUAUGCUACUAUUGAGGUGUUGACUAUAAGUAGAAGCUACUAGGCUUCUUCUUCCUCCUCAGCUGCAGCCAGCACAAGCAUCACACGCACAUGGUGAAGGAGAGAGAAACCCUCUCUUUCUCUCUCUAAAUAUCUCUCUCAUCUCUCUAGAUCUUUCGCCCAAAUUCGCGGCGUUGGUGGAGAUCGAGCUUGCGAACGCGUUGGAGGCGACGGAUUGACGAUGGAGCUUUCGUGCGCCUGUUGGAGAGCGACUUGUUUUCGUUGCGGCGUUCACAUUGGGUAACCUUUUGGAUUUGGCUUAAUCCUUAACCUUAAGUGUCUAGUAGCCUCUAAUGAGCAUUCUUAGUUAUGUUGCUCCAUUUAAUUUGGAUUAUUUGGGGCUAAUUGCAUGUUAGGGCUCAAAAAUGGGAUUUUGCAAUACGUGAGGGUUUGAUCUAAAUUGAUCAUGUAUAAACCUAAUUGUUAGGUUUUCUGACGCGUUGGCGAAGUCGGUUUGGCGAUACGACGAGCGUACGCGAAGAUAUUAAAGAACGAAGCCGUUAGUGUACAGAUUGCCGCAACUUGCGGCGAAAGCUUCCAAAAAUCACGAAAAUCGGAAUCCUAGCCUCGUGAUAGAAUAAAAGGUGGGGCGUGUCAUCCCGAAAGCAAUGGUUUCUUUUUAUGUCUAAGUUAAUUAUGUUGAUCAUAUUGCGCUAUAGGAAUAGAGUUGUACAUUUCAUUCCUUGCAUGUUUCUUGGUGGCGUAGCGGUGGGUGAGCUUGACACGUGACUAGGAUACAUGAGGAUUGGGUCUUGUGACAUUAGAAUCCUAUAGCGGCAUUAAAGAGCCGAACUUGGACAUAGCCUAGUAGAGUGGCAUCGAAACUAGUGUGGUAAGAAGCACUAUGACAUGAACAGGUGACAUGUAGAAUAAUUGAGACAUUUACUACAAUGACUAAACGAGUGGCAUUGAGUCUAGUGUAGUAAACAUGACAUGGUUCUAGGGAUGGAUAGAAGUCUACAACAUUGAUUAUAUAUCAUGAUUGUGCAGAAGAGGCCAUUGACCCUAGUAGACAGGGUAUCCUCUUGAGAGGAUUUGAUCAUACUCACUAGUCUGUUUUUGCUUGUCGGUGGGUCGCUUCCACCGAGGCACGAGUUCUCGCGAGUAUUCACGAGGGGCAGACGUAGUUGCCCCGCAGACGGUCUCGGUGUGCGAGUGCAGUUCCUCACCUAUGAGAUUGAAAGUGAGUCGAGGGUUAACACGGGUUAACCAAGUAGAUGUGGGUAAUGAACAUGAACUGCAUAGUAAGAUUUAAUCAUUAUUAACUCGAGUAACAUAGUGUAUGUGUAGAUUACAUUGCUAUGUACUUUAUAUUACUCAUGACAUGUACUAGCAUGAUGUAGUUGUUGCAAACAUUAUCAUCAUUGAUGGCAUGAUACAGUAGUUGCAGUUAUUUCGCUAUAUAUCUAUCUAUCUCUCUAUCUGUGACAGCUUAGACCUAAGUGGAAAACCGCGCGUCGGCGCCGAACCCACUGGGAACUAUAUUAUAUAAGUUCUCACCCGUGUGGUUUUGGGUAACAGGUACACACAGAGGCGACGAGCGAGGACCGCGGCAAGGGCAUAGCCGCCGCUAAGUGAGCCUAUUAGUAGCUUUUUCUUUAUGCAUUAGAGUACCCUCGUUACAGAUGAGUUUUUGGAUAAGGCUACUUAUAUUUUGAAGAAAACAUGUAUUUACAUUUUGGAAGAUGAAAAUGUAAUAUAUUCAAAUGAUGUAAAUGUUGAAUGAUUGUGAUAGUUAGACUAUCUCUCUUUAUACACUUGUAUAUUACUUGUGGUUCUUGCUCUUAGAUGUAUUGCACUUGUGUGCAUCGUGUUUGAUCAUGUAUGUUAUUUAAGCAAAUAACUGGGUGCUUAAUUGUACAUGAUCUGGUUGCUUAGCCUUGGGCGGACAGGAGAGGUGCUGUCCGUUCGGCGUCUGUUCGACGCGCCCGAACCGGACCGAAUUGGUAGCGGUCUCGGGGCGUGACAGAGUUGUUGGUAUCAGAGUCACUAAGAGCAAGUAAAGAGAGAGUCUAGGAUGGCGCCGGCGGAAUUGAAAGAGUUGCGGGCACAAUUGAUAGAUCUCAUUGAUAAGGGAUUCAUACGGCCAAGUGUAUCACCGUGGGGAGCCCCGGUCCUAUUCGUGCGAAAGAAGGACGGAUCAUUUUGACUCUGCGUAGACUACCGCGAGUUGAACAAGGUCACGAUCAAGAACAAGUACCCGUUGCUGAGGAUUGACGAUCUGUUUGAUCAGUUGCAAGGAUCUCGGGUUUAUUCAAAGAUUGAUCUACAAUCCAGUUAUCAUCAACUCAAGAUUAAGCCGGAAGAUGUGCACAAGACCGCGUUUCGCACGCGGUAUGGACACUAUGAAUUCACGGUCAUGCCGUUUGGGCUCACUAACGCCCCGGCAGCAUUCAUGGAUUUAAUGAACCGUGUCUUCAAAGAGUACUUGGACCGAUUUGUCGUGGUCUUUAUAGACGACAUCUUGGUCUACUCGCGCAGCGACGAGGAACAUGCCGAGCAUUUAAGGGUCGUGCUUCAAAUCCUUCGGGAGGAGAAGUUGUAUGCUAAGUUUAAGAAAUGUGACUUUUGGCUCCGAGAGGUUGCAUUUCUUGGGCAUGUCAUUUCCGAGGGAGGAGUAUCUGUUGACCCGAGGAAAGUGGAGGCGAUCAAGGAUUGGCCUCGCCCGACUAACGUCACGGAAGUUCGAAGCUUCGUAGGUUUAGCGGGUUAUUAUAGACGGUUCGUGGAGGGAUUCUCGAAGAUUGUGGGUCCACUUACCCGUCUGACUCAGAAAGGCGCCAAAUUCAUUUGGAGUAACGAGUGCGACCGGAGUUUUCAAGAGUUGAAGGAUAGAUUGACUUCGACUCCGGUACUCGCCUUACCGAUGCAAGACGAAGACUUCGUGGUGUAUAGCGACGCGUCACAAUCGGGCUUAGGGUGUGUUCUGAUGCAGGGCGGGAAGGUGAUCGCUUAUGCGUCCCGUCAGCUGAAGAUCUAUGAGAAGAAUUACCCUGUCCAUGACUUGGAGUUGGCCGCGGUAGUGUUUGCCCUCAAGCUAUGGAGGCACUACUUGUAUGGCGCGCGUUGCGAGAUAUACACGGACCACAAGAGUCUAAAAUACCUUUUCACGCAAAAGGAGCUCAAUAUGCGACAGCGGCGGUGGUUGGAAUUGCUGAAGGUUUUGAUGUGACAAUCCUAUACCACCCCGGAAAAGCGAACGUGGUGGCUGACGCGCUUAGCAGGAAGUCAGUGGAAAAUCUGGCUAUGUUGGUCACACGUCAAGAACCUCUGUGGAGAGAGAUGGAACGAUUGGAUCUCGAGAUGGUAGCUCCGGAAAUCCCGUCUAUGCUUACGGCUCUCGUUGUCCAACCGACCUUGUUGGAGCAGAUAAAUAGUUUGCAAUCUGCGGACCCCAAUCUCCAAAAGGUGCGGCGAGACAUCGAGAGUGGACACGGCGGUGAUUUCAGUGUAGAUGUUGAGGGUGCGCUUCGGUUUCGAAACCGAUGGUGCGUAUCGGAAAACGAGGAAGUCCGAAAGUUAAUAUUGCAAGAAGCACAUCGGACUCCUUAUAGUAUUCACCCGGGUGGCACCAAGAUGUACCGUGAUCUGAAGAUGCAGUACUGGUGGCCGGGCAUGAAAGCAGACAUUGGGCGCUAUGUAGCGCAGUGCCUAGUAUGCCAGCAAGUGAAGGCUGAACAUGGCAAUCAUAUUUAUAUAGUUCUCACCCCGUGUGUGUUUUGGGUACAGGUAAACAUCAGGCGAGAGGCUAAAGCACCGCGGCGCCGGAGGAAGGCAGGAAAGAGGGAACAGAGCGCCCUAGUACGCUCAAGUUAUGGGUAAGCUUGUUAUGUGUGCCAUAUGAGUGCAUGUACCGAGGUUAAUCCCAUCCGAAGCGUGUACUAGAUAAUGUUUGGAAGAUAAUUAUGCCGGGGAUGGCUAAACUUAUAAUACCAGUUGAAGGAGAAAACAAAGUAAUAUAGCAUUUUGUAGAGACGAGAGUCAAAGAUGGUAUAUUUAAUUUCAGAGAUGAGCGGUAAAUGUUAAGAGAUUGUGAGGAGUUUAGAGAGCUAUCUCUCUAUAUUAUUAGAACACUAUAUAUAUAAAUUGUAGAGUGUUGCGUGCUUAGAAAGAAUAGGGCGAGACUUCGUGAUACAUCGGAAUGAGGCUGAAAUUUUAAUAUAAAAAUAAAUAUAAAUGAAAAUAGUGUGAAAUACUAUUUUAUUGGACUUAUAGACAUAAAAUAUAAGUCUGGAAUGGCCCGUGUUGAAAUCGGAGCGAAAAUAGAAGAUUUAGAAUUUUCUGUGUGAAAUGGGGCAGAUAAAUUAGCAGAAAAUGCAUAGUGUCAGAAAAUUCUGAAAACUGGAGGAUAAGCCAGAAUUAUUCUUAUGAGGCUAGAUUUAAAGUUUCAUAUCAUUUUGACACCCGGAAGGUGGAAAAUAAAAUCCAAUAGUGAUCUGAUAAAGAUUACAGUUCGGUACAGCUUUCGGUGACCAAACGGGGUCGAAACUGAAAUAUUAAAAUUUCUUUGGACUUAUUAAGUAAAACUGAACGUGCCUGUCAAAUUUGAGCUCAAACGGAUAUUCAGGGAGCUCCGGCGAAAGGUAUUAUAUUUUGAGCCGCUAAACUGAAAUUGUGCUAAAGUGAAUAGUGUUGGUGUUGACUAUAAAAAGGAGUGUUGACUCCUUCUUCCUCCUCAGCUGCAGCCAGCACCAAGCAUCACACGCACAUGGUGAAGGAGAGAGAAACCCUCUCUUUCUCUCUCUAAAUAUCUCUCUCAUCUCUCUAGAUCUUUCGCCCAAAUUCGCGGCGUUGGUGGAGAUCGAGCUUGCGAACGCGUUGGAGGCGACGGAUUGAGCUUUCGUGCGCCCGUUGGAGCGACGUGUUUUCGUUGCGGCGUUCACAUUGGGGUAAACUUUUGAGAUUUGGCUUAAUCCUUAACCUUAAGUGUUCUAGUAGCCUCUAAUGAGCAUUCUUAGCAUGUUGCUCCAUUUAAUUUGGAUUAUUUGGGGCUAAUUGCAUGUUAGGGCUCAAAAAUGGGAUUUUGCAAUACGUGAGGGUUUGAUCUAAAUUGAUCAUGUAUAAACCUAAUUGCUAGGUUUUCUGACGCGUUGGCGAAGUCGGUUCGGCGAUACGACGAGCGUACGCGAAGAUAUUAAAGAACGAAGCCGUUAGGGUACAGAUUGCCGCAACUUGCGGCGAAAGCUUCCAAAAAUCACGAAAUCGGAAUCCUAGCCUCGUGAUAGCGAUAAAAGGUGGGGGGUGUCAUCCCGAAGCAAUCGGGUUUCUUUUUAUGUCUAAGUUAAUUAUGUUGAUCAUAUUGCGCUAUAGGAAUAGUAGUCGUACAUUUCCAUUUCCUUGCAUGCUUUCUUGGUGGCGUAGCGGGGUGAGCUUGACACGUGGACUAGGAUAGCAUGAGGAUUGGGUCUUGUGACAUAGAAUCCUAUAGCGGCAUAAAGAGCCGAACUUGGACAUAGCCUAGUAGAGUGGCAUCGAACUAGUGUGGUAGAAGCACUAUGACAUGAACAGGUGACAUGUAGAAUAAUUGAGACAUUUACUACAAUGACUAAACGAAUGGCAUUGAGUCUAGUGUAGUAAACAUGACAUGGUUCUAGGGAUGGUAGAAGUCCCAACAUUGAUUAUAUAUCAUGAUUGUGCAGCAGAGGCACAUUGACCCUAGUAGACAGGGUAUCCUCUUGAGAGGAUUUGAUCAUACUCACUAGUCUGUUUUUGCUUGUCGGUGGUCGCUCCACCGAGGCACGAGUCUCCGGAGUACUUCACUAGGGGCAGACGUAGUUGUCCCGCAGACGGUCUCGGUGUGCGAGUGCAGCUUCUCCUCACCUAUGAGAUUGAAAGUGAGUCGAGGGUUAACCUACGGGUUAACCAAGUAGAUUGGGUAAUGAACAUGAACUGCAUAGUAGAUUUGCAUUAUUACCUCGAGUAGACAUAGUGUAUGUUGUAGAUUACAUUGCUAUGUACUUUUAUAUACUCAUGACAUGUACUAGCAUGAUAGUAGUUGUUGCAAGCAUUAUCAUCAUUGAUGGCAUGAUAGAGUAGUUGCAGUUAUUUCGCUAUAUAUCUAUCUAUCUCUCUAUCUGUGCCAGCUUAGACCUAGUGGGAAAACCGGCGGCGUCGGCGGCCGAACCCACUGGGAACUAUAUUAUAUAGUUCUCACCCCGUG
This 11281-nucleotide long non-coding RNA is filed under the name Ananas comosus (pineapple). RNAcentral's name for it is "long non-coding RNA (ACOM_LNC010139)". The record is from RNAcentral. Lineage: Eukaryota; Viridiplantae; Streptophyta; Magnoliopsida; Poales; Bromeliaceae.